Non-coding RNA from Onthophagus taurus, 6423 nucleotides. NCBI's taxonomy places the organism in Eukaryota, Metazoa, Arthropoda, Insecta, Coleoptera, Scarabaeidae. The record is from RefSeq and is a predicted model, not a curated record.
AGUUCUUAAACUCAACUGAACUCAGUCAUCGCGGUCUCGAACCCCACUACAUAGUAUGCGGGGAGAGAGAGCUCCCGUGCAAUUUUCAUUCAUAUUUGACAAUCCAAACAAUGGCCGCCUAACAUAUGAGUGGUGCGAGAUCGAUUCAAGUGCAGUGUCUCGUUUUUAAUAUGAUGUGAUUUAAUCGGAAGCAAGAAAAAAUGUGGAUACCGACGAAAACAAAAAAGUACGGCGUCGCCAUUUACAAUUGGCGUGGCGACAAGAAAUUCGGCCUACCUUUAGAGAUCGGUGAAACAGUACAAAUUUUAGAAGAAUGUUCGGGGUGGUAUCGUGGAUUUUCGAUGAAAAAUCGCGCCGUCAAAGGUAUCUUUCCACAGAGUUACAUCCAUCUAAAACCGUGCAAGGUCGACAACGAGGGAUUGUUCGAAAGCGUUGUGCCAUUGGAAGAUCCUAUAGUCAGGGAAGUUACCUUAGUGUUAAGAGAGUGGAGUGAUAUAUGGAAAAAACUUUAUGUGGAAAGAGAAACUUACAAAUUUGAUACAGUGGGAAAAGUGAUGCGGGAUCUACUUGAAUGGAGGAGGCAGUUGGUGUCGGGAACCUUAACACAUGAUCAGACUAAGGAAUUAAAAACAAAGAUCAUUGCUAAAAUUGAUUGGGGUAACAGGAAGUUGGGUUUAGAUCUGGUACCUCGUCAAGGUUCUCAAAUGGUUGAUCCAGAAGAUAUGUCUGUAGUUGAACUAUAUCAUGUACACGUUUCGAGCGCUGAAAAUUCCCAAGGUGUUUCUUCAAGGGGGACAAUCAGAAAACGGGAAACGAAGAAAAUCUUAACUCAUCACUUAUACUUUUGUAUGAGAGAUUUCGGGCAUCAUAUUGGUGAAGAUACCGAAAUUUAUUUUUCUUUGUACGAUGGCCGAAAACAAUCCUACAUUUCCGAACGGUUCCUAGUCAAAAUUUCCAAAGAAGGAUUUUCAAAUUAUGUAGACAAAUUACAUAGCAACUGUACCGUUUUUACUGAUUUAGGAAAUGAUGAUCUUUCAAAAGAGAUUUACAUCGUAGCGCACAUAAUGAGAAUAGGAAAAAUGCUUUACUCAGAGAGUUCCAAAAAGACUGAAAAGAACGUUUCAACGAUGCAGCAAGUUUAUAAACGACCACACGGAGUUGCCAUUCAGAAUUUAGCCGACGUGUUAUUAAAUAAAAAUGAUUCCGACGAAAAAGAAUUCACGCUCAAAGUAUACCAAGGUGAAGAAAAAGAUUUUCAUCAACUACACGAAUCAUUAAUUAGACAAUCUGGAAAAUAUAGCGCUCUUUCGUGUCAACCAAACUAUGGUAUAAUAAUUUCAUUAAAAAUGUACCAUGGUCAAUUAAGCCAAAUCAAAGAAGAGCAUCCAUUACUCUUUAAAAAUAUGAGUUUAACGAAUAAGUUGGGUUUUCCUGAUGUGAUAAUGCCUGGGGAUGUGCGAAAUGAUUUGUAUUUGUUAUUGGAACGAGGUGAUUUCGAAAGAGGGGGUAAAUCCACUGGAAAAAACAUAGAAGUUACAAUUAUCGUAUUGGAUAGUGAAAAAAAUUUGUUACGGCAUUGUUUAUGGGGUGCAUCAGGGAUGGAUGGAGCUUCCGAAUACAACUCAAUGAUAAUUUAUCAUCAUAACUCACCAGCUUGGGCUGAAAAUGUUCGUUUAACACUACCAAUAGAUAAAUUUGCCGGGGCUCACGUGCGAUUAGAAUUCAGACAUUGUUCAACAAAAGAUAAAAACGAUAAAAAAUUAUUUGGUUUUUCAUUUAUCCGAUUAAUGGAUAAAGAUGGGGCUGCUGUAAAAGAUGGUCUUCACGAACUUUACAUUUAUAAAUGUGAAGAUGCACAAAAAUUGGAUAAUUGUGGUUACUUGAGUUUGCCUUCUUUUAGUAAGGACAUUGAAGGUAAUCAUGAAGCGAGUGGGGCAUUUUCAAGAAGCCACAAAGAAAUUAUUUGCGUUCGAACUUUAUUAUGCUCUACGAAAUUAACACAAAAUGUUGAUUUAUUAUCUUUAUUACGAUGGAAAUCUCACCCGGAGAGAAUACAAGAAUCUUUACAACGUGUAUUAAGACUAGGUGAUGAAGAAUUAGUAAAAUUUCUUCAGGAUGUUUUAGACGCUUUAUUCGCGUUAUUUUCAACUGAAGAAGGAAACUCUACGCAUUACAGCGGUCUCGUUUUCCAUGUUCUAGUCUCUAUUUUCAGCUUAUUGGAUGAAUCAAAGUUUCAGUUUUUUAAACCAGUUUUAGAUGCUUAUAUUAAAGAUCAUUUUUCAGCCGCUUUAGUUUACAAGGGAUUAUUAACCAGUGUUCAACACUGCGCCGAUUACGUUUUAUCUUUUGAUAAGCAAGAACCAAUUCAGAAAUGCUUUAAAAGUUCCGAAUAUAUUUUUAAAUUAAUCAUACAAAGUCGAUUGUUGUUUUCGCGCGCAACUUGUGGACAACACGAAGAUAGUUUUAGACGAGAUUUGUACAACGUUUUUGCUUCCUUAAAUAAUAUGCUGUCGAUAAGUUCACAAACAAUUAUUCAAACUCAGGCUGCUCUUCUUUAUUCAAUAAGUCCCGUUUAUGAGCAAUUAGUUGAAGUUCUUCCAAUAAUUGAGGUUACAAAAUUUGCUGUUGCAAUGUUAGAUAAGAUUCCAAAAGAUCUUCCACAACCUCUUGUACAAGCAAAGUUAACGGCCAUCAAGAAUUUAGUUCAAACUAAAUUAUUCCAAGACGAUGAAUCACGUAGUAUUUUGUUGACAAAUACUUGCAAACAUUUACGUUACCACAUGUUAUAUAGGGUGGAACUUAAAUUAUGCACGGAAAUAUUAGGAGAAAUUUUAGGUUUUCUUUGUAAACAUCGAAAGUUAUCAGAAAAACAAGAAAAAGUUAAUAAUUGUAUUCACCACGAUAUUGAUACUCUCUGCAUAAGUAUUUUUGAAGUUUUAAUUCAAACCGUUUUGAUUAUAAUUGAUAAGGAUACAAAAAUUAUUGGUUGUUUGGUGGCAUGCCUAAUUGGAUUAUUACAACUACUUGAUGAAUACCACUAUAAAAGGUUAUGGGAAACGUUGAUGGGAAUUAAUUUAGACAGGAAACCUUUAAAAGAUUUCUUAAUGAGAGUCUUUUUGGUAUUUAGAGAGUUGGUUAAACAAGAAGUUUAUCCACCCGAUUGGCUUAUUAUUAAAAUGGUCGCUAAUAAUGUUAUGUUAAAAGCUUUACAGGAAUUAGCUCAACCACUAGCUUUUAAAUUUUUGGAUAGCCGAACUGGAUAUUUUGAUAAAGAAUUAUGGACCAAUUAUUUUAAUUUAGCAGUAGAUUAUCUUACCCAACAAUCGUUGCAAUUAGAACAAUUUUCAGAAGUAAAACGAGAAAAAAUUAUCGAAAAAUACGGAGAUAUGCGCGUUUUAAUGGGUUUUCAAAUAUUAUCAAUGUGGUCUCAAUUAGGUGAACAUAAACUUCAUUUCAUCCCAUCUAUGGUAGGACCAUUCUUGGAGGUGACUUUAGUACCGGAAUUGGAGCUGCGCAAAGCGACGCUUCACAUAUUUUUUGAUAUGAUGGAAUGCGAACAACAAGCAAGAGGAAACUUUAGACAAGUCGAAAGUGAACUUAUUGAUAAAUUGGAUAUUUUAAUUUCUGAAAAUAAGGGUGAUGAUGAAUACAGAAGAUUAUUUAAUACAAUGGAACAUUUAAGUGCUGUGCUUUUGGAUCGAGUCCAAGCCGAGGAUCCGGCGUGGAAAGACAGCGGAGCUGCUUUUAUAAGCUCAGUAACGAGACUUCUAGAAAGACUUUUGGAUUAUCGAAGUGUUAUUCAAGGCGAUGAAAAUAGGGAUAAAAGAAUGUCUUGUACUUUUAAUUUAUUGAAUUUUUAUAAAAACGAAUUUAAUCGAAAAGAAAUGUAUUUGAGAUACAUUUAUAAAUUACACGAUUUACAUUUAUCGGCUGAAAAUUACACUGAAGCGGGAUUUACAAUGAAGUUAUAUGCUGAUCAAUUAUCUUGGAAUAAUAAUAUGGUUACUGAUCCUGCUUAUGCUGGUUAUACGGAAGGACAAGUUAAAGAAAAGUUGUAUCAUUUGAUUAUAAGCCAUUUUGAUAGAGGGAAGUGUUGGGAAAAAGGAAUACCUUUGUUGAAAGAAUUGGCUGUUUUAUACGAAACUCAAUUAUUUAAUUACCGGGCUUUGAGCGAUAUUUUAAGACAACAAGCGAAGUUUUACGACAACGUUUUACAACAACUUAGGCCAGAACCUGAAUAUUUCAGAGUUGGUUUUUAUGGAUUAAGCUUCCCAUUAUUUGUCAGGAACAAACAAUUUGUAUACAGAGGAUUAGAAUACGAAAGAAUCGGCGCUUUUACUCAAAGGCUACAAACUGAAUUCCCUUCAGCUCAAAUUUUAAUGAAAAAUACUCCACCUGAUGACACAAUAAUAAAUUCAGAUGGACAAUUUAUCCAAAUAAGCAAUGUGAAACCAAUUCCAGAACCGAGUACGAUCGUUUCAGCGCACGAUAUCCCCGAAAAAAUCUCGCGUUUCUAUCAUUACAACGACGUAAGAAGAUUUCAGUUCGAUCGUCCAAUUCACAAAGGAAUUGUCGAUAAAGAAAACGAAAUUAAAACGUUGUGGAUAGAAAGAACUAUAUUGGAAACAGAAAAUUCAUUACCUGGAAUUUUACCAUGGUUUGAAGUUAUUAGUAGAACGACGGAAGAUGUUCCUCCUGUUAAAUUUGCUUGCGAAACUAUGCAACUUGUUCAAAAGGAGUUGAGGCAGUUAAUUGCAACGUACACCCAGGAACCUAAACGAAAUUUAAAUCCUUUUACUAUGAGAUUACAAGGAAUUAUCGAUGCGAAUGUUCAAGGUGGCAUCAGUAAAUAUCAACAAGCUUUUUUCACACAGGAAUUUUCUAAAUUAUGUCCAGAACAUAUGCCAUAUGUUUAUAUGUUGAAGAAUUUAAUUUUUGAUGCUAUUCAAGUUUUAGAACAAGGUUUACAACUACACGGUACGUUAGCUUCAUCUGGAGUAAAACCAUUACAUCAACGUUUAAUAGAAAGAUGUGAACAAUUAAAAGAAAGCUUGGGAGCAUUAAACAAAAUGAAAAGACAACCAGAAAGCAUAGUAAAUAUGCCUUUACCGCCCUUGCCAGUAGACAAUCGCUAUCUUAUUAAAACAAACAGUAAUCGAUCUUCAAAUUCCAGUGGAAAUUAUGGAUUCCUAGCGGAGGCCAUCGUUGAGAACGACGACAUUUACACGAAACCGAUGGUUAGACGCAUGAACGAUGUGGUUGCUAAAACUAUUUCAGCUGCUAUCUAUCACGAAGUAGAAAAAGCUCCAAGUAGAGAUAACUUAUCACUGCCAAUGAAUAAUGCCUCGACAAGUGUAGCGCCACCAAUACCCCAACGAGAAAGCAGACCACGUUCUCAAGGUUUUAAUAUGUGUUAUGAAGGUAUUAGAACACCCACAAGAGGCAGUGCGGAUUACUCAAGUUUACCAAGUAAUUUAAAAUCAAGAGAUUCAGAUUCUGAUAUUCAAUUACCGCCGAAACCGACACAUUCUCGAGAAAGAUCUUUAACCAAGCCACCCUCUCCGAGAUUGUUACGACACUCUAUGGGAACUCCAACUGAAGGAAAUGGGCCGUUAAGAAAUUCUUGGCCUGAUGGAAGUGUCGAUGAAGCCCCACCUCUUCCACCACGAUCACACACUCCUGAUAAACGAGUAAAUUCGUUUCCAAAUGACGUCCCACCAAACAUACCAAAAAGGGGUCAAAAGAAAUCGACAUCUUCGGUGUUUAGUAUUGAGUCAAUGGUUGAUAUCACUUUGGAUAAUACAUCUUUAUCAGUUUUGACGAAUAAUUUGGCGGUUACGGAAGGAGAACAACACGAUCUUCGAGAUUCUGGUAUUAGCAUGUCUAUGUCUGAUCAAGCGAGUUUAAAUAAUUUCAAUAACACUUGUUAUGAAGAAUUUGAUUUGAGGGCGCACCAACAAGAGAUGAAUAUUAGUACCAGUCCGGGUAACGUUAGUCCGAAAUUGGAGAAUCCACCACCGAUUCCACCAAAAGGAUUGAACUCGUCGUUGAAUUCCAGCUUUGAGCUUAUUGGGAGUUUGGAACGUGCCAAUCGAAAGGAUACGGUGGUGGUUGAUACGACACCAUCCCCGGAAAAUUAUUCAGUACCAAAGAUGAAGAAUGAAAGCGAUGAAAAUCAAAAUAGUAGCCCGUGUUAAAAGAAUAAAAAGUAGAUGAUGUCAGUUUGUGUAGAAUUUCAGUGAGUUUAAAAAAUUAAAUGAAUUAAAAAAAGUAAUAAUAAUUUUUUACGUUGUGAUUUUAUGUUAACCAUCUUUAUUUUUAAAUCAUUUUUAGUGUAUUUAUCAUUCCCCUGCUCAGUAUACAAAAAUUUGUGUAAUUAUUCCAUUGUUUUUACCAUUUUUUAAAAUUAAAAUAUAAUUAUUA